AUUGAACGCUGGCGGCAUGCUUUACACAUGCAAGUCGAACGGUAACAGGCCUUCGGGUGCUGACGAGUGGCGAACGGGUGAGUAAUGCAUCGGAACGUGCCCAAUCGUGGGGGAUAACGUAGCGAAAGUUACGCUAAUACCGCAUAAGCCCUGAGGGGGAAAGUGGGGGACCGCAAGGCCUCACGCGAAUGGAGCGGCCGAUGUCAGAUUAGCUAGUUGGUGGGGUAAAGGCCCACCAAGGCGACGAUCUGUAGCGGGUCUGAGAGGAUGAUCCGCCACACUGGGACUGAGACACGGCCCAGACUCCUACGGGAGGCAGCAGUGGGGAAAUUUGGACAAUGGGGGAAACCCUGAUCCAGCCAUUCCGCGUGAGUGAAGAAGGCC
RNAcentral lists this ribosomal RNA (384 nucleotides) under uncultured bacterium. RNAcentral describes it as "bacterial SSU rRNA". It matches the Rfam family "Bacterial small subunit ribosomal RNA", at positions 29 to 416 of the family's 1533-position model. The record is from RNAcentral.